AUUGAACGCUGGCGGCAGGCCUAACACAUGCAAGUCGAGCGGAUGAAGGGAGCUUGCUCCUGGAUUCAGCGGCGGACGGGUGAGUAAUGCCUAGGAAUCUGCCUGGUAGUGGGGGAUAACGUCCGGAAACGGGCGCUAAUACCGCAUACGUCCUGAGGGAGAAAGUGGGGGAUCUUCGGACCUCACGCUAUCAGAUGAGCCUAGGUCGGAUUAGCUAGUUGGUGGGGUAAAGGCCUACCAAGGCGACGAUCCGUAACUGGUCUGAGAGGAUGAUCAGUCACACGGGAACUGAGACACGGUCCAGACUCCUACGGGAGGCAGCAGUAGGGAAUAUUGGACAAUGGGCGAAAGCCUGAUCCAGCCAUGCCGCGUGUGUGAAGAAGGUCUUCGGAUUGUAAAACACUUUAAGUUGGGAGGAAGGGCAGUAAGUUAAUACCUUGCUGUUUUGACGUUACCAACAGAAUAAGCACCGGCUAACUUCGUG
This 484-nucleotide ribosomal RNA is filed under the name uncultured bacterium. RNAcentral describes it as "partial 16S ribosomal RNA". It matches the Rfam family "Bacterial small subunit ribosomal RNA", at positions 30 to 507 of the family's 1533-position model. The record is from RNAcentral.